AUUGAACGCUGGCGGCAGGCCUAACACAUGCAAGUCGAGCGGAUGAAGGGAGCUUGCUCCUGGAUUCAGCGGCGGACGGGUGAGUAAUGCCUAGGAAUCUGCCUGGUAGUGGGGGAUAACGUCCGGAAACGGCGCCGAUGCCGCCAACGGCCUGAGGGAGGAAGUGGGGGGUCCUUAGGCCUCACGCUAUCCGACUGGCCUAGGUAGGAUUAGCUAGGUGGCUGGGUAAAGGCCUACCAAGGCGACGAUCCGUAACUGGUCUGAGAGGAUGAUCAGUCACACUGGAACUGAGACACGGUCCAGACUCCUACGGGAGGCAGCAGUGGGGAAUAUUGGACAAUGGGCGAAAGCCUGAUCCAGCCAUGCCGCGUGUGUGAAGAAGGUCUUCGGAUUGUAAAGCACUUUAAGUUGGGAGGAAGGGCAGUAAGUUAAUACCUUGCUGUUUUGACGUUACCAACAGAAUAAGCACCGGCUAACUUCGUG
RNAcentral lists this ribosomal RNA (483 nucleotides) under uncultured bacterium. RNAcentral describes it as "partial 16S ribosomal RNA". It matches the Rfam family "Bacterial small subunit ribosomal RNA", at positions 30 to 507 of the family's 1533-position model. The record is from RNAcentral.